CUGAAAAUUUUUAGCAGUUAGCAGUUUCAUUGGCAUUUGGCAAGGCUAUCCAAGAGAGCCUCUCUCACCGGAAACUGAGUACCAAGAAAUUUUUCAAAAUUUCAAACUUUUCUGGAACAAGCUUCAACAAUACUCCGCAUCACUGCCUACCAAUUUCAAAUUUUAGCAGAGAAAAAUCAAGGACAACUGAUGAUCAUGCCUGAGUCUGAGGUCAACUACCAUUGAAGAUUUGAAUAAUCUUAUUGCUAAUGCAAGGUAUCAAUUUCUGCUACAGUUCUGUAUUGUACUGUCUGCGUGAAAACAUGUGAUGUACCAACACAGUUCUUGUGAAUUUGUUAAGGAACACUUUUUCAGUUCAA
Molecule: long non-coding RNA, 359 nt
Organism: Solanum pennellii
Lineage: Eukaryota; Viridiplantae; Streptophyta; Magnoliopsida; Solanales; Solanaceae
Exons: 2
Source: RefSeq, a predicted model, not a curated record